GAGGGUGUGGCUCAGUGGUAGAGCACUUGCCUAACAUGUGUGAGGCCCUGGGUUCAAUUCCCAGCACUCCCC
RNAcentral lists this transfer RNA (72 nucleotides) under Fukomys damarensis (Damara mole-rat). It matches the Rfam family "tRNA". Rfam says of the family: Transfer RNA (tRNA) molecules are approximately 80 nucleotides in length. Lineage: Eukaryota; Metazoa; Chordata; Mammalia; Rodentia; Bathyergidae. The record is from Rfam by way of RNAcentral.